RNAcentral lists this ribosomal RNA (443 nucleotides) under uncultured bacterium. Its description in RNAcentral is "partial 16S ribosomal RNA". It matches the Rfam family "Bacterial small subunit ribosomal RNA", at positions 338 to 795 of the family's 1533-position model. The record is from RNAcentral.
CCUACGGGAGGCAGCAGUGAGGAAUAUUGGGCAAUGGGCGCGAGCCUGACCCAGCAACGCCGCGUGAAGGAAGAAGGCCCUACGGUUGUAAACUUCUUUUAUUCGGGACGAAACAAAUGACGGUACCGCAUGAAUAAGCCACGUCUAACUACGUGCCAGCAGCCGCGGUAAUACGGAGGUGGCAAGCAUUAUCCGGAUUUACUGGGUGUAAGGGGCGUGUAGGCGGGAGAGCAAGUCAGACGUGAAAUUCCAGGGCUCAACCCUGGAACUGCGUUUGAAACUGUUCUUCUUGAGUGAUGGAGAGGUAGGCGGAAUGCGGGGUGUAGCGGUGAAAUGCGUAGAUAUACGGAGGAACACCAGUGGCGAAGGCAGCCUGCUGGACAUUAACUGACGCUGAGGCGCGAAAGCGUGGGGAGCAAACAGGAUUAGAUACCCUAGUAGUC